Molecule: long non-coding RNA, 386 nt
Organism: Bombyx mandarina (wild silkworm)
Lineage: Eukaryota; Metazoa; Arthropoda; Insecta; Lepidoptera; Bombycidae
Source: RefSeq, a predicted model, not a curated record
UAGUAGGUACAUAUAUUUAUAACGAUACACGUUAGCUUACCAAAUUACAUAAUGUCACAUGUAAACUAUAGUUUCACAUCCCUAUCCCGACUUUUUUGUUAAAGUUCAUUAAGACAUUCCUUGACUGAACAUCACUAAAAGAGUUUUAUUUGAUACCGUAAGGUUUAUUUUGUUCCUAUUAAAAAUAAAAUAUAUUUAUGAUAGGUAAUGUAAUUUAUAAUUACUAGUUCGCGAGCUGCUGCAUCGCAGAUAAGUGAACUUUAUAUUUUAAUGUUUUUUUAAGUGUUUAACUCAAGCCAUCUCAGCUAUAAUACAAAUGUUAAAUUACAAAUCCUUUUUGUUGUAUGUACCUAUGCUUCGAUAUUUAAUAAAGAAAUUUGUUAGAC